GAGAGAGGUGUUUCACAAUAAGAACUGCUAAUUCCUAUAACUGAGAAUAAUUCCCUCAGCUCCCUCA
This 67-nucleotide transfer RNA is filed under the name Malaclemys terrapin terrapin. RNAcentral describes it as "tRNA-Ser". The record is from RNAcentral. Lineage: Eukaryota; Metazoa; Chordata; Testudines; Emydidae.